CUUCUAGUCUUACUUCUGACCUCCAAUCCCUGGGAGAGGGGCUGGAGAUUGAGUUCAAUCACUAAUGGCUGAAGACUGAAUCAAUCACGUCUGUGUAAUGAAGCCACCACUAAACUGCAAAGGGAUAGGGUUUGGAGAACUUUCAGGACCCGGCUAUUAGAAAAGAGGUUCAAUGUGAAUAUACUGACAAUAACAACAAAAAAAGAGAUUAGAGAAUUAAGAAAGAAAAUUCUAGAGGGCUUAAAGAUCACAUCUGGAAGGAUCUGAAAGGCCUCUUGAAGGAAAUAGAAAAAAAAAUUCUGGCUAAUUCCUCUAAUACUUCUGGACCCUCAUUGGCUAGGAAAUCAUGCUGUGUUCCCAUAUCUAUUUUCUGGUUCCGUGGAAGCUUCUUGAGUACAUGUCUAAUUUGGUUGGGUUCCCCCACUCUCGUACAGCUUCUCAUACAGUUGAAUUUUAAUUUUCAUUCCAUCAUAACGUUGGUGUUUGCCAUAAUCAAGACUGGCACAUCUCACAGAUGUCUUGUUUAUAAUAUUUCAAGCAGCUUCGGGUCCAAUGAGCUAUUGCAACACUAUGGCAUUGACAAUAACUAAAAGUUUUCUCACCUUGGAAUGGCAGGUGUCUUAGUUCCUACCUGCUGCUCCCCCACCUCAGGCAGAGAUGGAUAAGAAGGAGAAAAACAAGCUUUUGCAGGUGAAGGAAAACAGGAAGAAUUCAUUGCUAGCAGACCUGCACCGUACUGCAAGAAAAUUAAGAAAGUGCUUCAGGCAGAGGAGUAAGAUCAACUUAUAUUAACAUGAUAAUAUGAUAGACAGAAACUUCAUCUACACAAGCAAUGGAGAGCACUGGAAAUGGCAAAAGUCAAAGGUCUCUACUCAUGACCUUCACCUGGAGCAUGACUGGGAAAAUACAGAAAAAGGGAUGGAGUGCCAUUCUUAAGUAGCUUACCUUGAAGACUUAGUGCCGCUUGCAUAGCUGGCAGCAAUACGAAGUCGCCUAUAUCACUCAAAGGAAUAAUGGACCCUAUUAAAAGCUGCUGCAAACACUGUGAUUGAAUUGCUCUGUUUAUCAGUCUAAGAUGCACAACUGCAUACUUUGGCCCUACUAAAAGUUAGUGUUCCAUUGUUUUUAAAUUCUUAAUGUUCUUGGAUGAAAAACCAAGUGUUGAGGUUUCGGAGAGAUCACUAAUCAAUUCCAACCUUCUUUCUUGUGAAUUAUGAUCAUAUUUAAUACAAGUCAAAUAACUCCACAUACAACAAAGUACACUCAUUCUCAUUAAGUGUUAGUCUUCACUCCAUUUCCUAACAGAGAAACAAUAGACACUAAACAAAGAAACAUGACAUUAAAACAAGAACUGAAAAUUAAGAGGUAAUGCGUGACUAAAUUUCCUG
This 1388-nucleotide long non-coding RNA is filed under the name Equus caballus (horse). Its description in RNAcentral is "lncRNA (ENSECAG00000031380.3)". The record is from RNAcentral. Lineage: Eukaryota; Metazoa; Chordata; Mammalia; Perissodactyla; Equidae.